GCCCCCAUAGCUCAGGUGGAUAGAGCGACGGAUUCCUAAUCCGUAGGUCGUGAGUUCGAGUCUCGCUGGGGGUACCA
RNAcentral lists this transfer RNA (77 nucleotides) under bacterium. RNAcentral describes it as "tRNA-Arg". It matches the Rfam family "tRNA". Rfam says of the family: Transfer RNA (tRNA) molecules are approximately 80 nucleotides in length. The record is from RNAcentral.